This is a long non-coding RNA of Passer domesticus (house sparrow), 596 nucleotides long. RefSeq lists it as uncharacterized. The transcript has 3 exons. NCBI's taxonomy places the organism in Eukaryota, Metazoa, Chordata, Aves, Passeriformes, Passeridae. The record is from RefSeq and is a predicted model, not a curated record.
UUCUGCUAGAUGAUUACUGCCUGUCGUGGCUCCCAGCAAACACCCCUUUGAAGCUAACUUCUCUCCCUGAAACAGCUCUUUGUGAUAACCUCAUCCCAGUGCUUCAGGAUCUGAGCCAUGACAGAUGUGGGCUGCAUUUUCUCUGCGACAAGAGGAUCAGACAGCAGUAGCAAAUGAAACCUGGAGGAAUUGACCCCUUUUGCUUACCACUUUUGCAGUCCGAUGGCAGUAUCACUACAGAAAUGUCAGUCAGAAAUUAUUUUUCCACCCUGUCUUCUGUGAGUUUCUGCUUGGAAAUGGCUGGUUUAAUAUACCAGACACUCAAACCCAUUUCAGCCAAUGUAUGGAAAUGUCAUCCAUAAUAAGACUCCAUAGAGGUUUCAGAUCAAGCAUACUAGAGCAGCCAAAGUGGCAUUGAAAUUAGACUUCAAUUUUGCUGCUAAUAGCCCUGGAGGGAAUGAGAAACAAGAAGUGAAGAUGAUUUACUGAGAUUCACUGCUUCAGCAGCUAAACUUAAAUUGAUUUCCUUAAUGGAUUUCUGACAAUGUGAAGAUUAUUUCCUUCAACACAGAAUUUUUAUUUUAAGUCUACUUGUA